AGAUGGCGACCGGCGCACGGGUGAGUAACACGUAUCCAACCUACCGAUAACUCUGGAAUAGCCUUUCGAAAGAAAGAUUAAUACCGGAUAGUAUACGAAUAUCGCAUGAUAUUUUUAUUAAAGAAUUUCGGUUAUCGAUGGGGAUGCGUUCCAUUAGUUUGUUGGCGGGGUAACGGCCCACCAAGACUACGAUGGAUAGGGGUUCUGAGAGGAAGGUCCCCCACAUUGGAACUGAGACACGGUCCAAACUCCUACGGGAGGCAGCAGUGAGGAAUAUUGGUCAAUGGGCGCAGGCCUGAACCAGCCAAGUAGCGUGAAGGAUGAAGGCUCUAUGGGUCGUAAACUUCUUUUAUAUGGGAAUAAAGUUUUCCACGUGUGGAAUUUUGUAUGUACCAUAUGAAUAAGGAUCGGCUAACUCCGUGCCAGCAGCCGCGGUAAUACGGAGGAUCCGAGCGUUAUCCGGAUUUAUUGGGUUUAAAGGGAGCGUAGGUGGAUUGUUAAGUCAGUUGUGAAAGUUUGCGGCUCAACCGUAAAAUUGCAGUUGAAACUGGCAGUCUUGAGUACAGUAGAGGUGGGCGGAAUUCGUGGUGUAGCGGUGAAAUGCUUAGAUAUCACGAAGAACUCCGAUUGCGAAGGCAGCUCACUAGACUGUUACUGACACUGAUGCUCG
Molecule: ribosomal RNA, 670 nt
Filed under: uncultured Bacteroidales bacterium
Lineage: Bacteria; Pseudomonadati; Bacteroidota; Bacteroidia; Bacteroidales
Description: bacterial SSU rRNA
Rfam family: Bacterial small subunit ribosomal RNA
Source: RNAcentral